AACGAACGCUGGCGGCAUGCCUAACACAUGCAAGUCGAACGAGACCUUCGGGUCUAGUGGCGCACGGGUGCGUAACGCGUGGGAACCUGCCCUUAGGUUCGGAAUAACUCCCCGACAGGGGUGCUAAUACCGGAUAAUGUCUUCGGACCAAAGAUUUAUCGCCUUUGGAUGGGCCCGCGUUGGAUAAGCUAGUUGGUAGGGUAAAAGCCUACCACGGCGAGGAUCCAUAGCUGGUAUGAGAGGAUGAUCAGCCACACUGGGACUGAGAAACGGCCCAGACUCCUACGGGAGGCAGGAGUGGGGGAUAUUGGACAGUGGGCUGAAGGCUGAUCCAGCACUGACGCGAGAGUGAUGAAGGCCUUAAGGUUGUAAAGCUCUUUUACCCGGGAUGAUAAUGACAGUACCGGGAGAAUAAGCUCCGGCUAACUACGUG
Molecule: ribosomal RNA, 433 nt
Filed under: uncultured bacterium
Lineage: Bacteria
Description: partial 16S ribosomal RNA
Rfam family: Bacterial small subunit ribosomal RNA
Source: RNAcentral